AGAGCGAACGCUGGCGGCAGGCCUAACACAUGCAAGUCGAGCGCCCGUAGCAAUACGGGAGCGGCAGACGGGAGAGUAACACGUGGGAACGCGCCCUUCGGUUCGGAAUAACUCAGGGAAACUUGAGCUAAUACCGGAUACGCCCUUACGGGGAAAGAUUUAUUGCCGAAGGAACGGCCCGCGUCCGAUUAGCUUGUUGGUGAGGUAAUGGCUCACCAAGGCGACGAUCGGUAGCUGGUCUGAGAGGAUGACCAGCCUCACUGGGACUGAGACACGGCCCAGACUCCUACGGGAGGCAGCAGUGGGGAAUAUUGGACAAUGGGCGCAAGCCUGAUCCAGCCAUGCCGCGUGGAUGAUGAAGGCCCUAGGGUUGUAAAGUCCUUUUAACGGGAGAUAAUGACGGUACCCGUAGAAUAAGCCCGGCUAACUUCGCGCCAGCAGCCGC
Molecule: ribosomal RNA, 445 nt
Filed under: uncultured bacterium
Lineage: Bacteria
Description: SSU rRNA
Rfam family: Bacterial small subunit ribosomal RNA
Source: RNAcentral